GCCACGGUGGUCUAGCGGUUAGAACGCUGGCCUUGUAAUCCUGGGGGGCUCGGGUUCGAUUCCCGGCGGUGCCC
RNAcentral lists this transfer RNA (74 nucleotides) under Zootermopsis nevadensis. It matches the Rfam family "tRNA". Rfam says of the family: Transfer RNA (tRNA) molecules are approximately 80 nucleotides in length. Their secondary structure includes four short double-helical elements and three loops (D, anti-codon, and T loops). Lineage: Eukaryota; Metazoa; Arthropoda; Insecta; Blattodea; Termopsidae. The record is from Rfam by way of RNAcentral.